This is a long non-coding RNA of Falco peregrinus (peregrine falcon), 3146 nucleotides long. RefSeq lists it as uncharacterized. The record is from RefSeq and is a predicted model, not a curated record. Lineage: Eukaryota; Metazoa; Chordata; Aves; Falconiformes; Falconidae. The transcript has 3 exons.
GAGCGUGCAUGCACUGCCUUUCCCAGGCCUGGCUGCUCCCGCUGAGCUGGCUGUUGUGGUGGUCUCUGCAGCAGGAUUCAGAGGCUCUACUUAGCACUUGGACCUGGAGCUUCUGUGAAAACCUGUCUGCCUGUGCUGUGCAGCUGAACGGCCCUGGAUCUGGCUUUGUAUUGCUGGAGAGGGACAUGAACUAGCUUGUGUGUGGCUUUGUAGCAGCAUCUCAGCACUCACUGUAAAUAGACAGACUUCCCAGCUGCUGAAGUAUUUUGGCAGAAAAAAGAAAUGCCCUGCUAGCGUCCAAAGAACGAGUGAAACAGAGCAAACUAGGGUGAGAAUAUAUUUAGUGUGAAAUAGUAAAACUGAAGUAGGGUCAACACAUGUGUUUCUCCAUUAAUACCUGGUAUAUGCAAAAUGCAGGAUGGCAGGGGUAUAGUGAUGCCUAUCUUGGUUUUGCCAUUAGCUUUGUAGCAAGAGCCUUUACCUUCCCAUAGCAUAGACAAUGUUGUUCUGGUGAAGACAGUAAGUAUUAAGUCACUACUUUCUUGUCUUGUAUUUAACCCCUGCAGGUCAAAGAGGAUUUAAAUGGGUUUCAUAACUAAAUCACUCUUGUUACUGUGCUUGUGGAGUUCCUCAGAUAGAUAGUGAUUGGAGAUACGUCACUGUGGGUUAACUCAGCCUCGGACCUUUUCAGCAAACAGUCAGAGGGUCUCUCAUACCAGUUUGCCUGCUCCAUGGCCACGCCAUGGCUACCCUCCUACCUGUGUCCCCUGCACAGCCUAAGCCACCUUGGCAGCAGCAGGUUAGACACUGUAUCUGCCAGCUCUGGAAAAGGAAGGUUGUUGGUUCAGCUACUGACUCAAGUCAUUCUCUGAAACUGCCAAAGCCAUUUUGCUGGAAACAUCAAACUAAUUAAGUAGGCCAGAAAUGAAAUGUGAAGUGGCUGAAACCUGGAAAAGUUGUAGUCUACUGAAAUGAGAAGGAAUGGCCAUCCUGAAAGUAGAGCUUUAAAAUAUUUUUGUGUCAUUGAAGCAAUAUACAUAUGUAUAAAAUAAGUAUGUCUGGAAACAGAAGCUCUAGAACAUGAUCAGUUUUUUAUUUAAAAACAAUUUUUUGAAAUUCCAGGAUUUUCUGUGAGCUGGAAACGGUGGAUUUUGGUGGGUGUCCUUCCCACAGAAUAAUUCAGUGUUUUAUAAGCUUUUCCCAAAAGCUGAGUAGCAGCAAACUGUUGGCCAGCAUGGGUAAACAUGCUUGGAAUUGAAUAUCCACUUGCAGUCUAAAUGUACUCCAGUCUCUUUCAUUAGAAUACAGCCUUUCAGCUCUGCUUAAUGUAAUUUGCUUACAGAAGGGAGAAAAUGUCUUAUAAGGACUUCCAAGAAAGCAGACUGAGGUUCUCAGGCUCCCUUAAUGGUCAGCACUGGCUAUUCCUGAAAAAAGGUCUAGAUGACUUCAGAGAUGGCUUUCCUCCUUCACCUGAUAACAUGACUGGUAGAAAGCGGCCUGUCUCAAUUACCCUUCACAACAGCACACUGAGAUCUUUGUCUGCAGUUCCACGGAAGAAAAAGAAGCAGCAGGCCAAAACAGAGGUCUGACUGCCCAGGCUCAGCCCACUGCAGCAAGCCAGGAGGGACUACGUUGCACAGAUUGAGUGCUCUCUGCACCAGCGCUCUACACACGCUUGGAAAAAAGUAUCUCCCCAAAGGUCUUGAGACAAGUUGCUGGUGUCCUGGAUCCUGAAAUGCUUUUGAAAGGCAAGGCUGGCUACAAUGACUCUGAACAGAACCAACUCUUUUGGGAGGUGCUGGAUCGUCGGGAGGACGUCAAAAGCAAAGCAACAGCAUCCAAGGCACAAGCACACAGGACAUGGUUUUGUCAGCUCAUCUAACAGCUCCCAGCCAGGGGAAUUUCUCUUGUCCAGCAGCACCUCUCCUCCUGGCUGGAAGGUCCCAGGCCCUCCCCCUACACUUUCAGGGAUACACAGACCUCGCUCGCUCCGAUUUCAUCCUGGUCUUUCAGGUAAGGAUCCAGAGUCUGAUUUAACUUGCUGUGUCACUUUCAGUUAUCAUUUAAAACCUGGCUAACACAAUCCAGCACCGAGGGGUAGGCAGGGCUGUCAGCGAAGGCUUCUCCUCAGAACAGAUGGGGGGAAUGAAUCCUGCUUUAUUAUAAAGCUGAAUAGCACAUGGGGAGUUUGCUGAACACUUUUUUUCUUGUUUCACAGUGGCUGUUUGCUUUACCCAAGGUAACCUAAGGAAGUAUUUGUUCACGGCUGCUUGGGAAACAGUCUGUGCUUUGAAUUUAUUUUUCCUGAAUGCUUCUCACGGGUAGGCUGUUGUGCUGGCAUUGCUAGGCUCCCAAGAUGUGCUGCAGGGUGAUUUCCAAUCAGUUGUCAGUAAAUGCGGAUUUUCCGUUGUCUCUACAACAGGAUGUACAAAAAAAUGUGGAAACUUCAUAUUUAGGCAUGUGGUUCCAGAGCCCCAAGGACCGGCACGUUCCUGUGGCUGUAACCUGGAAAGCUGUGCUGGUGGAUGAAAUGCAGCCUCGCCGUGACCCGCGGACUUUUAACACCACAGCACUCCCAGGCUGGUGAACACCAGGGCUUUGAAGAUGAAAAUGUCUUUGAGACAAGUUUCAGUGAGCUUAGUACCUAACCACUGAAAUACUCCUGGCCAUGUCAGCGCAUGGCAGGAUUCCUUUUGCCUCCCUUUGCAUUCCACAUUUCUUUGAAUUGGCUAUCUUUUUCCAUGAAGGAAAGGGGGAAAAACAAUCUUUUUCCAAAUUCAUUUUCCAUAGCUCCAAUGUAACAUUAGAAUAAGAUAUACAUCGAUCCUCUUUACUCUUUGGCUCUUCAAAAUUCGGCCCCCACAAGACUGAUUUGUCUUUAGGACAGACACCUUGCAUAUGAAUGCCUAGCCCUGACAUACCUGUGUUAAAGGCACUUUUUUCAGUGGUGAGGUAAAAUUCUGAUCUGAGGACUGCAAUUUCAAGAGCGAUUUAAGCGUGUUUGGAUUUUUAGAAUUCGAUUCUGCACUGACUCACAGGGCCCUGAAGGAGCUGAGCGAUGCAGAGCUGAUCCUAAAACCAUAAACCAGUUCAGCCUCAAUCUGUCACAGUUUCUGCAAGCGCAUCAUAAUAUUUCUAUCCCAGUA